GGUGAGAGAGGGGAGAGACUGCGAGAGGGGGAGGCUUUACAGUGACGCGCUCAAUGCGGGGAAAGGAGGUCGUGGGCGGUUCGGACUCGGGGUGGGAUUCGCGGGCGACGAGGGCUGCUCCGCGCGGAAGAUUCGGCCGGCGGUUGAAGAUGAAGCUAACAGGUGGGGGCCCACCUGUCAGCGGCACAUGCAGCGCGCGCACGGGCUGGGACGGCGUGGUCGGGCGUAGGUGAGUAGGCGGGCCCAGUUAGGUCGGUCCGGCCAUUUCUUUCCCUUUUUUUUUCUUCUUUUCUUUUUUUCCUUUUCGAUUUUCUGUUUUUGAAUACCAAUUUUGAUUCAAAGCUCCAAAUCAAACCAAAUAAAUUGCAACAAAAUUUGUAAAAUCAUAUUUUCAUAUGAUUCAACCUUUGGGACAAGAAUUCCCUCAAAAUAAAAUAUUUAAAAAAUACUUUUUCCUUUAAACUAGCCUUUAGGGAUUUUUAGCUAUUAAAAUAAUUAGUGUUUCAAAUCAAAUUCAGAAGACAAUAAAUGGUGUAGCUUUAUAAAUGCAUUAAACCCCUUUUUAUGCCAAAACCCUCAUGGGUUAAAAUGAAAUUAACCAAAAGCAA
RNAcentral lists this long non-coding RNA (608 nucleotides) under Brachypodium distachyon (stiff brome). RNAcentral's name for it is "long non-coding RNA (BDIS_LNC003298)". Lineage: Eukaryota; Viridiplantae; Streptophyta; Magnoliopsida; Poales; Poaceae. The record is from RNAcentral.